This 358-nucleotide ribosomal RNA is filed under the name Ctenophryne geayi (brown egg frog). RNAcentral describes it as "partial 16S ribosomal RNA". It matches the Rfam family "Bacterial large subunit ribosomal RNA", at positions 1909 to 2422 of the family's 2925-position model. The record is from RNAcentral. Lineage: Eukaryota; Metazoa; Chordata; Amphibia; Anura; Microhylidae.
GUGACAAAGUUAAACGGCCGCGGUACCCUAACCGUGCGAAGGUAGCGCAAUCACUUGUUCUUUAAAUGAGGACUAGUAUGAAUGGCAUCACGAGGGUUUCACUGUCUCCCCCUUUUAAUCAAUGAAACUGAUCUUCCCGUGAAGAAGCGGGAAUAAACAUAUAAGACGAGAAGACCCCAUGGAGCUUUAAACCCAGUAUCAACUACACUUACUACACCACACAAGAUUAGUAGACGUGACACCUGGUUUUCGGUUGGGGUGACCACGGAGCAAAACAAAACCUCCAUGAUGAAAGGAAUCUAUUCCUAAUCUAAGAGCCACAGCUCAAAGAAUCAACAAACUGACAUUAAUUGACCCA